AGAAUCUAUCAUGUUUAAAUGGCUCACCCUGAUGGUUAGGAAUUCAGGGAGAGAGGCUGUAAGCCACACAAAAGAGCUGAGAGGGACCCCCACACUUACAGAGGGCCCCCUUCAUGACAGAUGGGGAAACUGAGGUUCCAAGACAGCCAGCAACUUUGUCAAGGUUACAGAACUUUUUAUUACUAUUGUUAAAAGGAAUCCCUGAGACAGAUCUGGCUUCCUACACAGUCCAUUUAAUUCUCACACUUGACUGUGUCAGUAACUCUGACUCGUGGUUCAAGGUUCAAGGCUCUUAUGAGCCUGACCUCAGCUUCACAGACCUUGUUUCCGCUUCUCAUUUUGCUUCCUAUGUGCUAUGGGAACUUGGACAAGUGACAACACCUUUCUGGGCCUCAAUCUUAUCCUUCGUAAUUUGUCUCACACAUGUGCUGUCAAGAUUAAGUAAGACAGCAUGUUUUAAAAGCUGGUACUUUUUGUGCUUAAUAAAUGCUGAUUUCCCACCUUCUCUCUUCCUCCUUCUGGCUUCCCUGGUGGUUCAGACAGUAAAGAAUCUGCCUACAAUGCAGGAGACUCGAGUUCAAUCCCUAGAUCAGGAAGAUUCCCUGGAGAAGGGAGAGGCUACCCAACCCAGUAUUCUUGCCUGGAGAAUUCCAUGGUCAGAGGAACCUGGUGGGCUACAGUCCAUGGGGUCACAGAGUAGGACACUAACUGAGCAACUAACAUUUUCACUUUCCAAUCUUCUCCCUUUCUCCCGCAGCCCUCCUUCUUUCCCUUUCCCUUCACUCCUCUUUUCUUCCUUUGUUCUUCACAUAACAAAUGAUGAAUGCGAAGAAGUAGAUCACCGGGUCCUCGCUCAAAGGAAGUUCAUCUCCAAUCAGGCUUCUGUUUUCACUUCUGUAGCACGUAAAGGUGGGAAUACACAGAUGUCCUUCCCUGUCCUCAAGGAGCUUAUAGAAAACCAGAGCUACAUACAAGGGAGAGAAAACCCCACAGGAAGCACGAGAUAUUUUCAAGCACUCAAAAAAUUUUACACAUAGAAGGGGAGAGAUUACCAAGUUAGGGUACAGUGAUAAGGUAUCAGAGGGGGAAACCCAAGAGGUACUGAAGUUCUCUUUGUCUGAUUCAGAAAGAAAAAAAAAAAAAAAAAACUGGUAAAGGGAACUAGAAGUUCACCCAUCGGGGCAACUAUUUCUGGGCACCAGAGAAUCUAAGUCCUCUGGGUCCUGUGAC
Bos indicus x Bos taurus (hybrid cattle) is the source of this 1230-nucleotide long non-coding RNA. NCBI's taxonomy places the organism in Eukaryota, Metazoa, Chordata, Mammalia, Artiodactyla, Bovidae. The record is from Ensembl.